RNA transcript from Acipenser ruthenus (sterlet), 3507 nucleotides. It is a transcript of the gene named sorting nexin 14, with no coding region annotated. The record is from RefSeq and is a predicted model, not a curated record. NCBI's taxonomy places the organism in Eukaryota, Metazoa, Chordata, Actinopteri, Acipenseriformes, Acipenseridae. The transcript has 32 exons.
UAACGUCAGUCACGGGAAGUCGUAGGCACGGGGUUGAAAUCGGUUCCCCAAAACAGGAAAUCCAGUUCAAAGGCAAAGAAACGUAUUUUCAUCUAGAAAUACUUCGUUUCAGUUGUCGGAAAACCUACCAGGCAGCAGCGCUAGUAUUGUGGAUGAAAUGAUACGACUUGUCUUAUGUGACAGAUUCUUCAUAACGUGUUGCAGGGCAUUUGAUUUGGAGAACAAGCUGCAGCUGAACUAAGUUCUGAAGAUGCCACGUUUCAGAGCAUUACUGGAAAACCUGCAACAGAGGCUCAAAGUGGAUCUCUUCAGAGAAAUUGUCCGCCAGUAUCCUGUGUUCUGUUUCAUUGUACUGUUUCUUCUGUUAUCCACUGUUCUUUUAAACAGGUAUCUUCAUAUUUUGAUGAUCUUUUGGUCAUUCCUGGCUGGAGUUGUCACAUUUUACUGCGCAUUAGGACCAGAAUCUCUUCUUCCUAAUAUCCUGUUCACAAUCAAGCCUAAACCUAAGAAUCUAGAGCUGCAAGAGUUAUUUCCCCUGGGGCAUAGCUGUGCAGUCUGUGGGAAAAUAAAAUGUAAACGUCACAGACCAACACUGCUGCUUGAAAACUAUCAACCAUGGUUGGACCUGAAAGUAUUCUCAAAGGUGGACACGUCACUUUCAGAAGUGCUGGAGUUAGUGCUGGAAAAUUUUGUUUAUCCCUGGUAUAGGGACCUUACAGAUGAUGAAGCCUUUGUGGAUGAACUGAGAGUAACACUGCGUUUUUUUGCUGCAGUGAUGGUUCGCAGAGCUCAAAAGGUCGAUGUUCCGGCACUUAUAACAUGCAAGUUACUUAAAGUUGCAAUGAAACAUAUUGAAAUAAUUGCUAAGGCAAGACAGAGAGUGAAGAAUACAGAAUAUUUGCAGCAGGCUGCGGUAGAGGAGUAUGGGCCAGACUUGCAUGUAGCUGUACGAAGCCGAAGAGAUGAACUGCUGUACUUGAGAAAGUUAACCGAGCUUCUCUUCCCUUACAUUCUUCCUCCCAAAGGAACAGAUUGCAGGUCUCUUACGUUGCUCAUUCGAGAAAUUCUAUCCGGUUCAGUUUUUCUUCCAUCUCUGGACUUUUUGGCCGAUCCUGAUACUGUGAACCAUUUGCUUCUUUUGUUCAUCGAUGACACUCCUCCGGAACCCAACACUGAGCCUCCUUCAGCUUUGGUCCCGUUCCUGCAGAAGUAUGCUGAGCCGAGAAAUAAGAAACCAUCUGUGCUUAAGCUGGAGUUGAAGGAGAUACGAGAGCAGCAGGACCUUCUCUUCCGCUUCAUGAACUUUUUGAAACAGGAGGGUGCUGUCCAUGUGCUGCAGUUCUGUCUUACUGUGGAGGAGUUUAAUGACAAGAUCUUGUGUCCUGAGCUGACAGACUCGGCAAUGCUCUCUCUACAUAAAGAGGUGAUAAAAAUCUACGAGACCUACUGUUUGGAUGAGAGCAUAGACAAAAUUCGAUUCGAUCCUUUCAUUGUAGAGGAAAUAAGGAACAUUGCAGAAGGGCCAUAUCAAGGUGUUGUGAAGCUGCAGACCAUGCGCUGCCUUUUUGAGGCCUAUGAGCAUGUCUUGUCUUUGCUAGAGAAGGUCUUCACACCUAUGUUUUGCCACAGCGACGAGUAUUUUAGACAGCUCUUAAGGGGUGCGGAAUCCCCUGCCCGGAACUCCAGGCUUAGUAGAAAUAGCGUGAGUUUGGAUGAUAUCCGCUCUGAUCAGGAUUAUAUGCAGGGCACUGAACCUUCAUCCGUAGCACAGGCUGCCACCAUGAGCCCAGGGCCUUCAUCUGCAUCUGUUUUCCCUCAUGUCCAAUCAAUUAUAACACUCCCGUCUGGCAUUUUUCUAUCUCUCCCUGCUGCUUUAAAGAACACCUCUAAACGUGGAGAAUCAUUUGGGAUAAGCCGGAUUGGCAGUAAAAUAAAAGGAGUGUUUAAAAGUACCACUCUGGAAGGGGCUAUGCUUCCGUCCUACGGCUUAGCGGAAGGAGAGGAUGACUUGGUUGAAGAAGCUAUAAUGGUGCUUGAAGACGACUCGCCUGUGGAGGGGAUCAGCACUCCAAGCACUCCGCGGAACCUCUCUGCCUGGAACAUAACUAUCCCCUAUGUGGACUUCUUUGAUGACAUUAAGAAAGAACGGAUUCCUGUGUUCUGCAUAGAUGUGGAACGGAAUGACAGGAAGGCAGUGGGUCAUGAAACUGAACACUGGUCUGUAUACAGAAGAUACCUGGAAUUCUAUGUCUUGGAAUCAAAACUGACAGAAUUUCAUGGCUCAUUUUCAGACACUCAGCUUCCCUCUAAAAGAAUUAUUGGACCCAAGAACUAUGAGUUCUUACAGUCGAAGAGGGAAGAGUUCCAGGAGUACCUGCAGAAACUUUUACAGCAUCCAGAGUUGAGCAAUAGCCAGUUAUUGGCAGAUUUCUUAUCCCCCAAUGGGGGUGAGUCACAGUUUCUUGAUAAAAUGCUGCCAGAUGUCAAUUUAGGAAAAAUGAUAAAAGCUGUACCUGGCAAAUUGAUAAAAGAGAAAGGGCAGCAUUUAGAGCCUUUCAUUGUGUCCUUCUUCAGUUCCUGUGAAUCUCCAAAACCUAAACCAAGCAGGCCUGAACUGACCAUUGUAAGCCCAACUUCAGAGAACAAUAAGAAGCUUUUCAAUGACUUGUUCAAAAACAACGCCAAUCGCUCAGACAGUACAGAGAAAAAAUAUAAUCAAAACUACUUUAUGGAGAUGAUAACAGUGGAGGGAGUCUAUGAUUACUUGAUGUAUGUCGGGCGAGUUGUCUUUCACAUCCCUGACUGGCUACAUCACCUGUUGAGUGGCGGACGAAUGCUUUUCAAGAACACACUUGAAACCUACACUGACUAUUACCUGCAGUACAAGUUGGAUCAGGUCCUUCAGGAACACAGAGCUGUCUCUAUGAUAACUCUUUUAAGAGAUGCUGUGUUUUGUGAGAACAGUGAACCUCGCUCUUGUGAAGACAAACAAAAAAGAGCAAAAAAGACAUUUGAGGAAAUGAUGAACUACAUUCCAGAUUUCAUUGUGAAAUGCAUUGGCGAAGAGGCUAAAUAUGAAGGUGUAAGACUGCUGUUUGAUGGGUUACAACAACCAGUGCUGAACAAACAGCUGACAUACGUUCUGUUGGAUAUUGCAGUCCUGGAGCUUUUUCCAGAGCUCAAUAAGGCACAUUGUUAAUUUGAACAGGUACCACUGGCUGUACCAUACUGUUUAUAACUGUACGCUGGCCUGGAUAACCAGACUGGAUUUACACUACAUAGCUGAUGUUGUGCAACAGCCCAGCAGGUGCAAAAGGAGGUGUCCACUAUGGCAUCUUGGAUGUAGGCAAGCACACCGAUUUUAACUUGAUUCCAAUGAUGUGCAAUACAUUUCUUAUUGAAUUUCCUUAUCAAUACAUUUCUGUAUUAAAAAAGCAAAACCAUUUCAUCUACCAACACUAAAACUUCAUUGCACUAAUAAAAACAAAAUAUUUAUUGAUUUGAAAA